UACGUAGGGUGCAAGCGUUGUCCGGAAUUAUUGGGCGUAAAGAGCUCGUAGGCGGUUUGUUGCGUCGGCUGUGAAAUCCCGAGGCUCAACCUCGGGUCUGCAGUCGAUACGAGCAAACUAGAGUGUUGCAGGGGAGACUGGAAUUCCUGGCGUAGCGGUGAAAUGCGCAGAUAUCAGGAGGAACACCGGUGGCGAAGGCGGGUCUCUGGUCCAAAACUGACGCUGAGGGGCGAAAGCGUGGGGAGCGAACGGG
RNAcentral lists this ribosomal RNA (253 nucleotides) under uncultured bacterium. RNAcentral describes it as "partial 16S ribosomal RNA". It matches the Rfam family "Bacterial small subunit ribosomal RNA", at positions 524 to 776 of the family's 1533-position model. The record is from RNAcentral.